UAGGGAAUAUUGCUCAAUGGGGGAAACCCUGAAGCAGCAACGCCGCGUGGAGGAUGAAGGUUUUCGGAUUGUAAACUCCUUUUGUUAGAGAAGAUAAUGACGGUAUCUAAACGAAUAAGCACCGGCUAACUCCGUGCC
RNAcentral lists this ribosomal RNA (138 nucleotides) under uncultured bacterium. RNAcentral's name for it is "partial 16S ribosomal RNA". It matches the Rfam family "Bacterial small subunit ribosomal RNA", at positions 355 to 509 of the family's 1533-position model. The record is from RNAcentral.